This is a non-coding RNA of Callorhinus ursinus (northern fur seal), 79 nucleotides long. The record is from RefSeq and is a predicted model, not a curated record. NCBI's taxonomy places the organism in Eukaryota, Metazoa, Chordata, Mammalia, Carnivora, Otariidae.
GGUUACAUCAUACAAUAACCCCCUGCCUCCCAAGAUACAAUCUUUCUUUGUAGAGAGGGAGUGGGAGAGGGAGAAGCAG